AGCGAACGUUAGCGGCGCGCCUAACACAUGCAAGUCGCACGAGAAAGGGGGCAACCCCCGGUACAGUGGCGCACGGGUGAGUAACACGUAGAUGACCUUCCCUGGAGUGGUGGAUAACCUGCCGAAAGGCGGGCUAAUACAGCAUGGGACCACAUGGUUUUGACCGAGUGGUGAAAGCGGGCCUCUGUUCACAAGCUCGCGCUCUGGGAUGGGUCUGCGGCCCAUCAGCUAGUUGGUGAGGUAACGGCUCACCAAGGCAACGACGGGUAGCUGGUCUGAGAGGAUGACCAGCCACACUGGAACUGAGACACGGUCCAGACUCCUACGGGAGGCAGCAGUGGGGAAUCUUGCGCAAUGGGCGAAAGCCUGACGCAGCGACGCCGCGUGGGUGAUGAAGGCCCUCGGGUUGUAAAGCCCUGUGGGGAGGAACGAACCGUUCGGGGGUGAAUAUCCUCCGAGCCUGACGGUACCUCCUUAGCAAGCAUCGGCUAACUCUGU
RNAcentral lists this ribosomal RNA (498 nucleotides) under uncultured bacterium. RNAcentral's name for it is "bacterial SSU rRNA". It matches the Rfam family "Bacterial small subunit ribosomal RNA", at positions 28 to 506 of the family's 1533-position model. The record is from RNAcentral.